UGACGAUAUUCAACCAGAAAGUCACGGCUAACUACGUGCCAGCAGCCGCGGUAAUACGUAGGUGGCAAGCGUUAUCCGGAUUUAUUGGGCGUAAAGAGAGUGCAGGCGGUUUCUUAAGUCUGAUGUGAAAGCCUUCGGCUCAACCGAAGAAGUGCAUCGGAAACUGGGAAACUUGAGUACAGAAGAGGGCAGUGGAACUCCAUGUGUAGCGGUGGAAUGCGUAGAUAUAUGGAAGAACACCAGUGGCGAAGGCGGCUGCCUGGUCUGUAACUGACGCUGAGACUCGAAAGCAUGGGUAGCGAACAGGAUUAGAUACCCUG
RNAcentral lists this ribosomal RNA (320 nucleotides) under uncultured bacterium. RNAcentral describes it as "bacterial SSU rRNA". It matches the Rfam family "Bacterial small subunit ribosomal RNA", at positions 470 to 789 of the family's 1533-position model. The record is from RNAcentral.